RNAcentral lists this ribosomal RNA (466 nucleotides) under uncultured bacterium. RNAcentral describes it as "bacterial SSU rRNA". It matches the Rfam family "Bacterial small subunit ribosomal RNA", at positions 28 to 494 of the family's 1533-position model. The record is from RNAcentral.
GAUGAACGCUGGCGGCGUGCCUAACACAUGCAAGUCGAACGAAGCACCUUUCUUGAUCCUUCGGGUGAUGGGCUGGUGACUGAGUGGCGGACGGGUGAGUAACGCGUGGGUAACCUGCCCUGUACAGGGGGAUAACAGCUGGAAACGGCUGCUAAUACCGCAUAAGCGCACGAGGGGACAUCCCCUUGUGUGAAAAACUCCGGUGGUACAGGAUGGGCCCGCGUCUGAUUAGCUGGUUGGCGGGGUAACGGCCCACCAAGGCGACGAUCAGUAGCCGGUCUGAGAGGAUGAACGGCCACAUUGGGAACUGAGACACGGUCCAAACUCCUACGGGAGGCAGCAGUGGGGAAUAUUGCACAAUGGGGGAAACCCUGAUGCAGCAACGCCGCGUGAGUGAAGAAGUAUUUCGGGUAUGUAAAGCUCUAUCAGCAGGGAAGAUAAUGACGGUACCUGACUAAGAAGCUCC